RNAcentral lists this ribosomal RNA (253 nucleotides) under uncultured bacterium. Its description in RNAcentral is "partial 16S ribosomal RNA". It matches the Rfam family "Bacterial small subunit ribosomal RNA", at positions 524 to 776 of the family's 1533-position model. The record is from RNAcentral.
UACGUAGGGUGCAAGCGUUACUCGGAAUUACUGGGCGUAAAGCGUGCGCAGGCGGUUCGCUAAGACCGAUGUGAAAUCCCCGGGCUUAACCUGGGAACUGCAUUGGUGACUGGCGGGCUAGAGUAUGGGAGAGGGGGGUAGAAUUCCACGUGUAGCAGUGAAAUGCGUAGAGAUGUGGAGGAAUACCGAUGGCGAAGGCAGCCCCCUGGGCCAAUACUGACGCUCAUGCACGAAAGCGUGGGGAGCAAACAGG